GCAAUGCAAAAAGGACACCUGGCAGCAUCCAAACUCCAUGAACCCACCUUGAGAAGCAAGCAAGGAACAUUAUAUAUACAACAUGAACUUCACAUUGAAGGUAACUGAACAAUUCCAAGCAAAAUCACACUUAGAUACAAACUCAACUCUCGAUACAUUUUUUCUCCGAUUGCUAAUUCCCACACCGGAGGGGUUAUCCGGCCAACCCCGGCCGGGCAGCUCUAACGGUGUUUCCUGUGGUAGGAACCUCAGUCCUUGGAUAGUCCAACCGAGUGCGAAGCCCCGAUCCACUUUCAUCUAGUGCGGAAUCCGCAGAUGGAGCAAGAACAAAACUGCAUCCAAACUUGGUGGCCGGUGAUGGUAUUUGCAAAUCAAUGGUGGAGUCACAAGGCUAUGUUUGCGAACACCAUAAAGUA
Camellia sinensis is the source of this 416-nucleotide non-coding RNA. The record is from RefSeq and is a predicted model, not a curated record. Lineage: Eukaryota; Viridiplantae; Streptophyta; Magnoliopsida; Ericales; Theaceae.